GACUGUUACCAAGAACAAAAAAGAUUAAAUGGCACCGGAAUCUCUUUCAAGCACAAAUAGCAAAAAAAUUUCAAAACCAACCUCUUUAAUUUGCUGAAUCCAUUGAGAAAAUAUAACUACGAAUCGACGGUCGGUGAGAAUUCAAGGAAGAUUGGAUUUCUCCUUGGAGUUGGAAAUGAAAUGUCUUUGGUAAAUUUAAAGAUUAGGGCAACAAAUCCCUUCCAACG
RNAcentral lists this long non-coding RNA (227 nucleotides) under Elaeis guineensis (African oil palm). RNAcentral describes it as "long non-coding RNA (EGUI_LNC033116)". Lineage: Eukaryota; Viridiplantae; Streptophyta; Magnoliopsida; Arecales; Arecaceae. The record is from RNAcentral.